UUUGUGUGUGUUUUUUUUUUAAGGGAAAAUGAUUUUCUGGCCAGAUGCCCCAAUCUGGCUGUGUAACUAGGAAAGGUGGAAAGUUCUCUAAAAAUAAAAUGACCCUUGAAAAAGACUGGAGAGGUUCACAGCCUUUAAAUAUCUUUCUAGCUGGUGGAAAAAACCACCAGGGAAAAAAAUGAGCAGGACCACAUGUGAUUUCUUUUUCUUUUCAGAUUAUUUGUGUGACUGGAGAAAGGCCUGAUCCAAGGUCCUAGCUGCUAUCCACAGUCAAGGACGUUUGGAAUGUUUGGCCUAAGGAGGAACUAACUACAAGGAUUUAUGGAUAUAUAAGAACUCUAAUUAACUCUGAGGCUUGCCUGGGAUUUUGGCUUUUGUGUCUAGGUUGGUACAACACACACUUGGGGGUCAGGGGCCAUUUCAUUUUGUGUUACAUCCUUCCUAGGUAGUGAAGUGUUCAUACUUCUCCUCUAGUCCAUAAAAUUCAAAUAACUUAAAUGUUUUCUCUAUAGUACUUCCAUACCUAGUAUAAUAAAUUGCAUUCAGGAAUUAGUCAAAAUCCAUUGAAACUUGGAAAGUUAAAAAUCUUCAUUAAACAAUAGGAUUUUUUUUCUUUAAAUGCAUCUUCCCAGUGCUGGACAAUGCACAAGACAGAAGAAAAUUAGACUGAAAAGGAUCCUGGACCUCAAAGCAUUUGCAGUCUGAUAGUAUAUAAAUAAUAUAAGUAUAUAUUGCUUAGGAGUGAGAAACAAUCAAAGUAGCCAAUAGCCAGUGUAUAAUCAAAGUGUAUAGCCAAAUUUUGCUUUACAUGAGUCACACUAAAAUUAAAAACUAGUAUCAUUUUAAUAAUGGAAAAUUGAUUCUGUUUUGCUGAAUGAGUGCAGAUUGGAAGCUUUAGCAACUAGAGAAUACUGAGGGAAAGCCAAGUGACUUGAAUCUCACUUCUUAUACUCUAAGAAAGAAAAUCCAACAUUGUCAAUAAUUUCUCAUAAUAUGAUUCAUUCUCCAUUUCACCUUUUUUGUUGUUGCUGUCAAUAAGAUAAAAUAAUGAACAGUUCUACCCACCUUAUAUCACUGAAUUGCCAGUUUGCUUGAUACAGUCUCCAAGAAGGAAUUCAAUUCUUACAACUUUAUCUAGCAGAUCCUAAGUCCACCAACUGCAUGGCCACCACACCCCUAAAAGUAUAAACCUUCCUGUCCAGCUCAGUGCCUGUCUUUCUUUUCUCCUCUCCCUCGUACNGAAUGCUUGCCUAGCACGGGUGAGGACCUGGGUUCAAUCCCCAGUAUGCAAAAAGAAAAGAAAAAAAGUAAAGAAGUUCAUUUAUUCUAAACAUUUUUUUUAUUGUAUCAGUAUUAUUAACAGGGAAAAGGAAGGAAAAAGGCAUUUCUAAACUAAGUGCUCAUAAAAUCACUUUGUUUUAAAAUUUUAUCUUUUGAAUUUCAUCCAUAUAAGUACUUAAUUUUUAAUUGGUUAUAAUUAUGAUAAAAUACAAUUAUUAUUUCAUUCUACUUGUCUAAUUGCCUACUUUUGGAACGAUAAGGAAUGAAAUCAAUAUUUGUCAUGUUUCUCUUGUGUUUUUAUUACACACACACACACACACACACACACAUUACUUUUCAGUGCUCAGGAUGGAACCCAGGACCUUGUGCCUGCUGGGCAAAGGCUCCAUCACAGAGCAACAUCCCCAAACUGUCUUUAUAAUAAAAUAGUUCCAUAACUCAUGGUCCUAUCAUAUUUCACUGCUGUUAUAUUGCUGAAUGUGUAGAUUAUUUUCUAUUUUUCAGUACUCCAAGAAAUGUGGUUUUGAGCACUUCUAUGAUUAGAAUUUUUCUUUUAGACUUUUUUCCUUAAGUUAAAACUUCUGAAAGUAGGGAGGAAAGGAGCUUAAAAGUCAAACUUUAAAAAUACUACUAGUUUUUUAAACUGCCAUAGCAAUGUACAGAAUAUACUACUUUCACCAAAAUUUUGCCAUAAAAACCAAUUGCUAACAAAGAAAUUAUAUUUAGUCAAUGCGAGUAAAUUAUCAGAUACUAGAUGAAUGCUGUAGCAUUGGGGAAUGCUGGUCCUGCAUUAAAGGAAGGUAAAAUUUUAGAUUUAAGAAAUAACUGUGUGAUCCUGGUCAAAUUGCUUAAUUUCUCUAAUCUCAUUAUUGCUUUUCUGUAUGUUUGCCAAAAUGAUAGUCUUAUAUCUUUCAAUAUAAGACUUCUUUCUGUUUUUAGUCAUCUCAAGGGGUCUUCCUUUUAAUGACUCAUUGAAUAGUUAAUAUUUAUUGAGUACCUUCUGUAAGCCGGUCGUUUAAAAAGUUCUUUUUGAUACUGAAGAUUGAACUCAGUGAUACUUUACCACUGAGCUACAUCCCUAGCCCUUUUUUUUAAAAUUUUGAGAUAGAGUUUCACUAAGUUGCUAUUUUUUAUUUUGAGAUAGAGUUUCACUAAGUUACUAUUUUUUUAUUUCGAGAUAGAGUUUCACUAAAUUGCUUAGGACCUUGCUGAAUUGCUGAGGCUGGUCUCAAACUUGCAAUUCUGCUGCCUCAGCCUCCCGAGUUGCUGGGAUUACAGGUGUGCACCACAGCGCCUGGCACUAACCAUUCUUUAAGCACUUGACAUAUUUUAUCUCAUCUAAUUCACAUUACAAACCAUUUUGGUCAGUACAGUUAUCAUACCCAGUGUACUGAUGCAGAACCAAGGUUUAGGCUAAUGCAAUAGAGGCUGCCCAAGUUCUCAUAGUGGUAUGCAGAGGAAGGACGUAGAAUUCAGUUUAAUUCCAGUGUCCUUCAUUUUAAACCACCUUGGCAUAUUUCCUCCUAAAAAAAACCUCAAAA
RNAcentral lists this long non-coding RNA (2822 nucleotides) under Marmota monax (woodchuck). The record is from RNAcentral. Lineage: Eukaryota; Metazoa; Chordata; Mammalia; Rodentia; Sciuridae.